UGGGUUUACCAAGACGUGUGUAAGCAGCUCAAAUAGCAUGUCCCAGACUGCAUCUACCAUGUCCUCUGGCACCUAGAUACCAUACCUGCUCUUCCUGGAUCCCUGAAUCUCAGGUUGAUAGCAACGUCAAGAGCUAAGGCAUUGGUUUCUAUGGUUUGAAUGUUUGUGUCCCUUUCAGAGUUCAUGCUGAAGCUUAAUCCCCAG
Sapajus apella (tufted capuchin) is the source of this 204-nucleotide long non-coding RNA. RefSeq lists it as uncharacterized. Lineage: Eukaryota; Metazoa; Chordata; Mammalia; Primates; Cebidae. The record is from RefSeq and is a predicted model, not a curated record. The transcript is spliced from 3 exons.